Molecule: long non-coding RNA, 723 nt
Organism: Lutra lutra (Eurasian river otter)
Lineage: Eukaryota; Metazoa; Chordata; Mammalia; Carnivora; Mustelidae
Exons: 3
Source: RefSeq, a predicted model, not a curated record
GCGGACUUGGACCGAACGAGUGUCCGUCCGCUAAGCACUGAGCGAAGAAACUUGCAUCCGGGCGGAGAAACCGUUUUAGUUUCCCCGACUACAAUUCCCAGCAUUCCCGCGCUGAAGUAACCUGUCUGCUCCUGCGUUCGGAAAUUCAAAUGCUCAAGAAGAAAAAUACGAGCAAAGUGGAAUAGAAAAGGUCCCUUUCACACUAACCAAUAGCAAAAGCAAGUCUCUGGCAUGGUUUCUGUUUCCCAAGUCAGAAGAGGGAGUGGUGUAGGUUCCAUGCCCAACAUGGGGCUUGAACUCACCACCAACUGAGCCAGCCAGGUGCUACAACUUGCUAUUUUUUCGAAGAUUAAUUUGUAUAUCAGAAAGGGAGAACACAAAUGGUAAUUGUCUAUUUGUCAAUUAUAAUGGUAAUUCCCAGCUAGUAAUUGAUGACAUAGGUUUUUGGCAGAAUGUAUGUUUAAUAGAGUCUUUGUCUUUUGGAAGUUCAAAAUGUAAAAUUAAAUAUAAUCAUGCCCAUGACAUUAAAGUAUGGAGAAGAUUAAUUCUUCCUCGCCAACUGCCACUACAGAGAGUUUGAUGACUGGCCUUAAAAGGCAAGGAUUGUAGUCACAAAAAAUAAUUAACCAUUUCAUAAGCACCUAUGGAUUACAAGCCCAGUGAAGUCUCUUAAGGCUUUAAGAAUUUAUUUUCCCAUAUUAAAAAUGUAUGAACUUGACACCA